Molecule: ribosomal RNA, 497 nt
Filed under: uncultured bacterium
Lineage: Bacteria
Description: partial 16S ribosomal RNA
Rfam family: Bacterial small subunit ribosomal RNA
Source: RNAcentral
GAUGAACGCUGGCGGCGUGCCUAAUACAUGCAAGUCGAGCGAACAGACGAGGAGCUUGCUCCUCUGAUGUUAGCGGCGGACGGGUGAGUAACACGUGGAUAACCUACCUAUAAGACUGGGAUAACUUCGGGAAACCGGAGCUAAUACCGGAUAACAUGUUGAACCGCAUGGUUCAACAGUGAAAGACGGUCUUGCUGUCACUUAUAGAUGGAUCCGCGCCGCAUUAGCUAGUUGGUAAGGUAACGGCUUACCAAGGCAACGAUGCGUAGCCGACCUGAGAGGGUGAUCGGCCACACUGGAACUGAGACACGGUCCAGACUCCUACGGGAGGCAGCAGUAGGGAAUCCUCCGCAAUGGGCGAAAGCCUGACGGAGCAACGCCGCGUGAGUGAAGAAGGUCUUCGGAUCGUAAAACUCUGUUAUUAGGGAAGAACAAAUGUGUAAGUAACUAUGCACGUCCUGACGGUACCUAAUCAGAAAGCCACGGCUAACUACGUG